GGGGCUCGGCGCGGUCAAUUCCUGGUGCGAGGCUUGCACGCCGACCGCAGUGGUCAAGGCCGCAAAGCGCAGAUUGAGCGGCGCGAACUGCACCUCGACGCGGCCUUCCUGCUCCUUGUUGGUGAAGGUCUGGCGCACGCCGUCGCUUGAAAAAUCAGCCGGAUCGGCAAGGCCGAUUUCAUUGUGCUUGUAGUCGGUGGCGCCAGCCCAGAACCGGAUCACGUCGAUCGCCUUGGUGUCGGGGUGAUAGUCGCCCUUCACCGUCAGCUUGGUCUGCCGCGCACUGAUGCGGG
Molecule: unclassified non-coding RNA, 293 nt
Filed under: Hevea brasiliensis (rubber tree)
Lineage: Eukaryota; Viridiplantae; Streptophyta; Magnoliopsida; Malpighiales; Euphorbiaceae
Source: RNAcentral